Molecule: transfer RNA, 72 nt
Filed under: Camelus bactrianus (Bactrian camel)
Lineage: Eukaryota; Metazoa; Chordata; Mammalia; Artiodactyla; Camelidae
Also listed under: 2 other names
Rfam family: tRNA
About the family: Transfer RNA (tRNA) molecules are approximately 80 nucleotides in length. Their secondary structure includes four short double-helical elements and three loops (D, anti-codon, and T loops).
Source: Rfam by way of RNAcentral
GAGGGUAUAGCUCAGUAGUAGAGCAUGUGCUUAGCAUGCACAAGGUCUUGGGUUCAAUCCCCAGUGCCCCUA